Molecule: ribosomal RNA, 253 nt
Filed under: uncultured bacterium
Lineage: Bacteria
Description: partial 16S ribosomal RNA
Rfam family: Bacterial small subunit ribosomal RNA
Source: RNAcentral
UACGAAGGGGGCUAGCGUUGUUCGGAAUUACUGGGCGUAAAGCGCACGUAGGCGGACUUGUAAGUCAGGGGUGAAAUCCCGGGGCUCAACCCCGGAACUGCCUUUGAUACUGCGGGUCUUGAGGUCGAGAGAGGUGAGUGGAAUUCCGAGUGUAGAGGUGAAAUUCGUAGAUAUUCGGAGGAACACCAGUGGCGAAGGCGGCUCACUGGCUCGAUACUGACGCUGAGGUGCGAAAGCGUGGGGAGCAAACAGG